GAUGAAACGCUGGCGGCGUGCUUAACACAUGCAAGUCGAACGAAGCACUUUGGACAGAUUCUUCGGAUGAAGUCCUCAGUGACUGAGUGGCGGACGGGUGAGUAACGCGUGGGUAACCUGCCUCAUACAGGGGAUAACAGUUAGAAAUGGCUGCUAAUACCGCAUAAGCGCACGGUACUGCGUGGUACAGUGUAGAAAAACCUCCGGUGGUAUGAGAUCGGACCCGCGUU
This 230-nucleotide ribosomal RNA is filed under the name uncultured bacterium. Its description in RNAcentral is "partial 16S ribosomal RNA". It matches the Rfam family "Bacterial small subunit ribosomal RNA", at positions 27 to 237 of the family's 1533-position model. The record is from RNAcentral.